This 635-nucleotide ribosomal RNA is filed under the name Andrias japonicus (Japanese giant salamander). RNAcentral's name for it is "partial 12S ribosomal RNA". It matches the Rfam family "Bacterial small subunit ribosomal RNA", at positions 612 to 1521 of the family's 1533-position model. Lineage: Eukaryota; Metazoa; Chordata; Amphibia; Caudata; Cryptobranchidae. The record is from RNAcentral.
ACGGCUCAAAGGGUGGUUAAAAACAAACGCAAUAGAAUUAAAAGUUGAUUAAACUGUUUUACGUAAUAUCAACCAUAAACUCAAUGACGAAAGUAAUUCUAGAUAAUGACUCCACGAAAAUUAGGUUACAAACUAGGAUUAGAUACCCUACUAUGCCUAGUUGUAAACUUUGAAGCAUCCGCCUGAGAACUACGAGCCAUAGCUUAAAACUCAAAGGACUUGGCGGUGCUCUAUACCCACCUAGAGGAGCCUGUUCUAUAAUCGACAAUACCCGAUAAACCUCACCAUUUAUUGCCAAUACCGCCUAUAUACCGCCGUCGUCAGCUUACCCUUAAGGGAUAAAACAGUAAGCACAAUAAUAAACAUUAAAACGUCAGGUCAAGGUGUAGCGUAUUAAAUGGGAAGAAAUUGGCUACAUUUUCUACUAGAAAAUACGAAAUAUUUAAUGAAAUUAAAUAUGAAGGCGGAUUUAGCAGUAAAAAGAAAACAGAGAGUUCUUUUUAAUUCGGUCCUGGAGCGCGCACACACCGCCCGUCACCCUCCUCAAACACUCAAUAAUGUUACAUAAAUAAAAUUAAUAAAUAAGAAGAGGUAAGUCGUAACAUGGUAAGUGUACCGGAAGGUGUACUUGGUAU